Molecule: ribosomal RNA, 560 nt
Filed under: Trypanosoma theileri
Lineage: Eukaryota; Euglenozoa; Kinetoplastea; Trypanosomatida; Trypanosomatidae
Description: bacterial SSU rRNA
Rfam family: Eukaryotic small subunit ribosomal RNA (bases 153-560)
Source: RNAcentral
UACCGAGCAGCUCUGGUAUUUGGGAGGAGCAAGUGUGGGGAAGGGAAGAAACUUACGUGCAAUUCUUUUCUGUCCAUGCAAGGGGGCCUCAACGGGUACAUCCUCAGCCCGCGAUCACGUCUCACGCUAAAGCUUCGAGGAUACAGUCUCAGGGGGGAGUACGUUCGCAAGAGUGAAACGAAAGAAAUCGACGGAAUGGCACCACAAGACGUGGAGCGUGCGGUUCAAUUCGACUCAACACGGGGAACUUUACCAGAUCCGGACAGGGCAGGAUCACAGAUCAGUGUUCUUUCUCGAUCCCCGGAUGGUGGUGCAUGGCCGCUUUUGGUCGGUGGAGGGAUUUGUUUGGUUGAUUCCGUCAACGGACGAGAUCCAAGCUGCCCAGCAGGAUUCGAAUUGCCCACAGGACAGCAAUCCCCUCCGCGGGUUUUUCCCAAGGAGGGGCGAUAUUCGUUUGUAUCCUUCUCUGCGGGAUUCCUUGUUUUGCGCAAGGGGAUAUUUUGGGCAACAGCAGGUCUGCGAUGCUCCUCAAUGUUCUGGGCGACACACGCACUACAAUG